CCCCCUCAGACCUUGCAGAGGCCCAUUCUCUGUGUGGCUCUAGAUAGAGCUUGUCAAGUUGGCAAUUAACACCAACUGAUACAACACCAUAUUAUCUCAAAUGAAUACUGAGGUAGCAAAAGUCAUGGUAAUUUUGAAACUUUUAUUUUUGUUUGUUUGUAUAGUAGGGCGGGCACAAGCCCAUGCCCACCACAGAUCUCACAGGUGGGUCACAGGCCAACCCUUAGAACUGGUUCUCUCCUGCCACCUUGUGGCAUCGACGGGUGGGUCAUCCGGCCUGCAGAAGGAGGCUUUAACACACUGCUAAGAAGAAAUCUCCAAAUUACUGACUGGAAGAAGAAGGUGUGCACUACAUGCAUGUAAUGGCCAUGGGCGCCAGAAGAGGGCGCCAGAUCCCCUGGCCUGGAGCUUGGCGGGUGCUGGGAAUCAAUUCCAGGUCCUCUGGGACAGUGGCCAGUGCUAUUAACCACUAAACCAUUUCUGCAGCCCC
RNAcentral lists this long non-coding RNA (490 nucleotides) under Cricetulus griseus (Chinese hamster). Its description in RNAcentral is "lncRNA (ENSCGRG00015029623.1)". The record is from RNAcentral. Lineage: Eukaryota; Metazoa; Chordata; Mammalia; Rodentia; Cricetidae.